Molecule: ribosomal RNA, 330 nt
Filed under: uncultured bacterium
Lineage: Bacteria
Description: bacterial SSU rRNA
Rfam family: Bacterial small subunit ribosomal RNA
Source: RNAcentral
GAUGAACGCUGGCGGCGUGCCUAACACAUUCAAGUCGAACGGUGACGGGGGCUUCGGUCCCCUGAUCAGUGGCGGACGGGUGAGUAACGCGUGAGUAACCUGCCUCGGAGUGUGGAAUAACACAUGGAAACGUGUGCUAAUACCGCAUAAUGUAUUUGGAGGGCAUCCUCUGGAUACCAAAGAUUUAUUGCUCUGAGAUGGACUCGCGUCCAAUUAGCUAGUUGGUGAGGUAAUGGCCCACCAAGGCGACGAUGGUAGCCGGACUGAGAGGUUGGCCGGCCACAUUGGGACUGAGACACGGCCCAGACUCCUACGGGAGCAGCAGUGGGG